RNAcentral lists this long non-coding RNA (214 nucleotides) under Numida meleagris (helmeted guineafowl). RNAcentral's name for it is "lncRNA (ENSNMEG00000004027.1)". Lineage: Eukaryota; Metazoa; Chordata; Aves; Galliformes; Numididae. The record is from RNAcentral.
CUUCUCUACCUUCCUGGUCCCACACCAAAAUGGAUUUUAAAAGAUGCAUUAAUCAAGUGAAGAAAGUAAAAGAGAAUGGAAGAUGAAGCAAAGAGAAAGAACAAUCGCCUGCAUGCGUGGACCCUUUUAUGGAAGCAAAAACCAGAGUGGUUUGUUCUGUGAAUAACAACAGAAAUCCUAAGGUAAUGAAUUCAUGAAUUAUCUACUACACUUG